Molecule: ribosomal RNA, 420 nt
Filed under: uncultured bacterium
Lineage: Bacteria
Description: bacterial SSU rRNA
Rfam family: Bacterial small subunit ribosomal RNA
Source: RNAcentral
GGAAUUUUGGGCAAUGGGCGAAAGCCUGACCCAGCAACGCCGCGUGAAGGAUGAAAUCCCUCGGGAUGUAAACUUCUCAAGAACGGGAAGAAUACGUAGGGGACAAUACCCCCUAUGAUGACGGUACCGUUUGUAAGCUCCGGCUAACUCCGUGCCAGCCGCCGCGGUAAUACGGGGGGAGCAAGCGUUGUUCGGAUUUACUGGGCGUAAAGGGCGCGUAGGCGGUCAGCACAAGUCAGGUGUGAAAUCUCCGAGCUUAACUCGGAAAGGUCAACUGAUACUGUGCGACUAGAGUGCAGAAGGGGCAACUGGAAUUCUCGGUGUAGCGGUGAAAUGCGUAGAUAUCGAGAGGAACACCUGAGGCGAAGGCGGGUUGCUAGGCUGACACUGACGCUGAGGCUCGAAAGCUAGGGGAGCAAA